UACAUGUGGGGCAAGCGUUGUUCGGAAUUAUUGGGCAUAAAGGGUGCGUAGGUGGCUUGUUAAGUCAGGGGUGAAAGUUUUCGGCCCAACCGGAAAAUGGCCUUUGAUACUGGCGAGCUCGAGUGCGUGAGGGGUAACCGGAACGAGCAGUGUAGCGGUGAAAUGCGUAGAUAUUGCUCGGAAGGCCAACGGCGAAGGCAGGUUACUGGUGCGCAACUGACACUGAGGCACGAAAGCGUGGGGAGCAAACAGG
This 253-nucleotide ribosomal RNA is filed under the name uncultured bacterium. RNAcentral's name for it is "partial 16S ribosomal RNA". It matches the Rfam family "Bacterial small subunit ribosomal RNA", at positions 524 to 776 of the family's 1533-position model. The record is from RNAcentral.